UACGAGGGGGGCAAGCGUUGUUCGGACUUAUUGGGCGUAAAGGGUGCGUAGGCGGUUUUGUAAGUCUUGUGUGAAAUCUUCAGGCUCAACUUGAAGACUGCACGAGAAACUGCAGGGCUUGAGUGUGGGAGAGGUGAGUGGAAUUGCCGGUGUAGCAGUGAAAUGCGUAGAGAUCGGCAGGAACACCAGUGGCGAAGGCGACUGCCUGGGGAGUAACUGACGCUGAGGCGCGAAAGCUGGGGGAGCAAACGGG
This 253-nucleotide ribosomal RNA is filed under the name uncultured bacterium. RNAcentral's name for it is "partial 16S ribosomal RNA". It matches the Rfam family "Bacterial small subunit ribosomal RNA", at positions 524 to 776 of the family's 1533-position model. The record is from RNAcentral.